Molecule: ribosomal RNA, 499 nt
Filed under: uncultured bacterium
Lineage: Bacteria
Description: bacterial SSU rRNA
Rfam family: Bacterial small subunit ribosomal RNA
Source: RNAcentral
AUGAACGCUAGCGACAGGCCUAACACAUGCAAGUCGAGGGGUAACAGGGUAGCAAUACCGCUGACGACCGGCGCACGGGUGAGUAACGCGUAUGCAACCUGUCUAGUAACUGGGGGAAUAGCUCCCUGAAAGGGGGAAUUAACACCGCAUAACACUAUUGAUUCGCAUGGAUUGGUAGUUAAAUGUAGCGAUACAGGUUAUAGAUGGGCAUGCGUGACAUUAGCUAGUUGGUGAGGUAACGGCUCACCAAGGCUACGAUGUCUAGGGGUUCUGAGAGGAAGGUCCCCCACACUGGUACUGAGACACGGACCAGACUCCUACGGGAGGCAGCAGUGAGGAAUAUUGGUCAAUGGGCGCAAGCCUGAACCAGCCAUGUCGCGUGCAGGAAGACUGCCCUAUGGGUUGUAAACUGCUUUUAUAGUAGAAGAAACACAUCUACGUGUAGAUGUCUGCCAGUAUACUAUGAAUAAGCAUCGGCUAACUCCGUGCCAGCCGCUGC